This 565-nucleotide ribosomal RNA is filed under the name cyanobacterium Lanzarote. RNAcentral's name for it is "bacterial SSU rRNA". It matches the Rfam family "Bacterial small subunit ribosomal RNA", at positions 150 to 747 of the family's 1533-position model. The record is from RNAcentral. Lineage: Bacteria; Bacillati; Cyanobacteriota.
UGGGAAACCAAUGCUAAGACCCCAUAGGCUGAAAAGUAAAAAACGAAAGUUGCCAAGAGAGGAGCUCGCGUCUGAUUAGCUAGUUGGUAGUGUAAAAGACAACCAAGGCGACGAUCAGUAGCUGGUCUGAGAGGACGAACAGCCACACUGGGACUGAGACACGGCCCAGACUCCUACGGGAGGCAGCAAUGGGGAAUUUUCCGCAAUGGGCGAAAGCCUGACGGAGCAAUACCGCGUGAGGGAGGAAGGCCCUUGGGUUGUAAACCUCAAAAAAUAGGGAAGAAAAAAAUGACGGUACCUAAAAUAAGCAUCGGCUAACUCCGUGCCAGCAGCCGCGGUAAUACGGAGGAUGCAAGCGUUAUCCGGAAUCAUUGGGCGUAAAGAGUCCGUAGGUGGUUAUCCAAGUCCGAAGUUAAAGACAGAAGCUAAACUUCUGGAAAGCAGCGGAAACUGGGGAACUAGAGUGUAGGAGAGGUAGAGGGAAUUCCCAGUGUAGCGGUGAAAUGCGUAGAGAUUGGGAACAACACCAGUGGCGAAGGCUCUCUACUGGACUAAAACUGACACU